GGGUGUGAGGGUGAUGUGGCUGUGACACCUGUCAGUCCUUUGAUUGCCAGGGUUGAUUCGGCUGAUCUGGCUGGCUGGGGUGUGUGUGUCCCCUUCCUCCCUCGACCUUCCAUGUGUGUCCCUCCUGAAGCUGCCUCGUCAAUGGAAGAGGAUGACCCUCCCAGAUAGAAGGAGCCAACCGGCCUUUGGUCAAGGGUAUACGGUAGCUGCGCUGGAACCUUUUGCUUUGUUUACACCCAGGCUGAUUAAAGGUACUGUUGUAGAAGUCAAAAGCUUGCACACU
This 283-nucleotide small nuclear RNA is filed under the name Pogona vitticeps (central bearded dragon). Its description in RNAcentral is "7SK RNA (ENSPVIG00000012747.1)". It matches the Rfam family "7SK RNA", at positions 1 to 282 of the family's 331-position model. Rfam says of the family: 7SK was discovered as an abundant small nuclear RNA in the mid-70s but a possible function has only recently been suggested. Two independent studies have found that 7SK RNA binds the CDK9/cyclin T complex (known as elongation factor P-TEFb). Lineage: Eukaryota; Metazoa; Chordata; Lepidosauria; Squamata; Agamidae. The record is from RNAcentral.